Anolis carolinensis (green anole) is the source of this 1332-nucleotide long non-coding RNA. RefSeq lists it as uncharacterized. The transcript has 3 exons. Lineage: Eukaryota; Metazoa; Chordata; Lepidosauria; Squamata; Anolidae. The record is from RefSeq and is a predicted model, not a curated record.
UCUUGGACAUGUCAUACUCUCUCAACCCCAGAGGGAGGCAAUGGCAAACCCUUUCUGAACAAAUCUUGACAAGAAAGCCUCUUAGAGUUACCAUAUGUUGGAAAUGAUUUGAAAGCACCAAAAACGCCCCCCAACCAACUUCUCCAAACAGCCAGAAAGCUUUCCAAAUUCUGCCUGUAAUAGAUUAUUUCUAACUUCUGCUGCUCACUGGCCACAUUUUAUUUACACCCUUCAGAAUAAUGAUAAUUGUGCUAUUCAUAUUUUUCUAAUAUUUGGGGGAGGUGACAAUGAUGAUAGGUCAACAGGGCAAUCCGAUCUAUGCAUAUAUUUUGAGAAACACAAAAAGGAGGAAGGAAGGAGCAAGGGAAAAAAGAAAAUGUGACAGGACCUUUUAGACUGACUUUUUAUUUUCAAAUGGGCCUUCAUUGAUUUAAAGCCACUUUUUGGGAUGCAGCAUCUGUUGAGAUCUAUUGCGUCUUAUGGGACUUGAAAAUUUAUAAUGUUAAGGUUAGAACACAUUGCAUUGUGACUGCAUGGUUUUGGAAUCACAACUACAUUCCAUAGAGACAAAGGAGAAAAGGCAGGAGACGUAAUAAGGGAAUGGAUGAUGACGAUGAUGAUGAUGAUGAUGAUGAGUGGAUCUGGGAGACAUACAAGGCAGAACAGGAUGAGAGGGAGAAAGAAAGGGCUGGGGAAAGUGGGAAGAAUCAAGUGCAGUGAGUUCUACCUGCUUCUCCUGUGCUUACCUAAGGAAUCAAACCAGUAGCAGAGCACCUCUGUAGGAGAGUUUAUGUAGGAGAGUUUAUGUCCACUCCGUCAUUGAUAAUGAUACACUGAAUUGAUAUACUCAAAAAAAGAAAUUGACUACUCCAGGUUUUCCAUACCUGCAUAACCACCACCUGAAGAAGACUACACAGUCGAAACCGGUCAUGUAUGGUGUCUAACCUUGGACUUGUUUAGAUUGGAUUAAAAGGAUUCACUUACUUGGACAUUAAAUUUGGACUCACAAUUAGAGAUUUAUACAGUCCUCCAUGAGGAACAUGAACUUUGGUGGGCAUUGGACUCACAAACUCUGAAUAUACAGUUUUACUUUCUCUGAAUAUAGAGUUUUCUUUCUAUGAAUGUAUGUGUGUUGGUAACACAUGGAUUAUAUUUUGGUUUAAUUGCUGUUGUAUAGUUCAUAUCAUUGGAUUGCAUUUCUAGCUGUAGUGGCCUCUUGCCUGUGUUGUGAUAAUGCAGCCACAUUGUAGACUCACACCCUUAAAAAAUAAAUAAAGAGCCCUCGGAGGUGCAGGGGGUUAAGCCCUUGUGCUGGCAGGACUAAUGACUUGA